RNAcentral lists this small RNA (146 nucleotides) under Citrobacter amalonaticus. RNAcentral describes it as "QUAD RNA". It matches the Rfam family "Short Intergenic Abundant RNA". From Rfam's summary of the family: This family contains multiple ncRNA from E. coli that were identified in a large scale screen of E. coli, were they were called candidates 43,55 and 61. These RNAs have also been identified by other groups and called QUAD RNAs. Lineage: Bacteria; Pseudomonadati; Pseudomonadota; Gammaproteobacteria; Enterobacterales; Enterobacteriaceae. The record is from RNAcentral.
UUGACAUUAAGGUUCAUGUGGCUUAGUUUCAGAAGUGAGGGUAAGGGAGGGUUUCCCCUCCCCCUGGUGUCUUAGUAAGCCGGUAAGCUAAUGACUAAGAGUAUCACCAGUAUGAUGACUACCUUCAUCAUAACCCUUUCCUUAUU